This is a long non-coding RNA of Saimiri boliviensis boliviensis (Bolivian squirrel monkey), 1378 nucleotides long. RefSeq lists it as uncharacterized. Lineage: Eukaryota; Metazoa; Chordata; Mammalia; Primates; Cebidae. The record is from RefSeq and is a predicted model, not a curated record.
UCUGCAGUUGGCCUCUGGCUCAGCCGCCUACGGAAAAAAUCCAGGAAAAGUUUUUGGACCAUAUCAUAGCCUCCUUGGGUCAUUAAUCUCCUCGGCCCUUGCAGAUACACAAAACAGAGUCAGUGGCUGGAGUUCUUGUUCCAUCCUGUGUUCUGAAAGACUGACUCUCCCCACCACCGCCUCCUCAGUUCCUCAAUUUCAAGCCCAGGAGAGACCCAGUCGGAACAUAAAGAGGCCUGUGGCCAUGGGGACAUGUGAGAGAGUGUGUCUGUCUGCAAAGAACAAUAGCUGCUCUUCUUCUGGUCCUGCUCUUCUAUUCCGGAGCCUUAGAAGACGUGAGUGACAGAGGAACAGAAAUGACACUCCUGUGGCCAGGCAUGAAAUUUAGCCACCAUAAUUCCUGGCCCCCAAGGGACUCUGCGUUUGAGACCUCUGGAUGAGAUCAUCAAGUGAUAAGAAUUCCAAUUUUCGUUUUCCUAAGUCUUUCAUCUGCCAAUCUACCCAACAUGAACUAGGGGCCACAUAGUAGGCCAGGCACGUUCUUAAGGGGCUCACAGACUGGAGGUGUACAUCUGUGAUUACAAUGUGCAUGGUAAAACUGGAUCGGCAGUUUUCAAGGACUGGAAUGUAAUAAAAUAUCCUCAAAACAAUAAGCAAGUUGGGCAUGACUUAGACUUUCACUGCCCAUGUAGAAGGGACUGUACAUUCUUGCAGCAUCUCAGCUGGACAUCAAGAGCUGAGUCAAACAAAUCCAUUCAGCGGUGGCAUGGAAGUGGGGCUGGCUGGGCACAAGGCAAAACUGUGAAGGGGAUAAAGUGCCUGUGGUUCUGCCUUGACUCUGGUCCCUGGAGUCUUCUCCUCUCGAGUUCUUAGAAUUAUGUCAUUACUCUUGCUCUAUCUCAUCCUGUCAAGACUUGUUUUAGAAAUUGGUGCCAGAGAGUUAGCUGCAUUCAAAUGUAAACUCAUUCUUCAUUUAGCAAGUUACUUAUUAGUGCCAGCUCUGUGUCAGGUUCUAUAUUAGGUACCAGGGGAGUACAGUGAUGAGCAAAACCAGUUCUGCUCUUCUGGAAUAGAGAAGAUUGGAAGAGGAUGGGGGGAGGGGCGGGUCACCAUUAAUCAAAGAGCCACAGAAGUAAGUGUAAAAUGUAGCUGGAGUAAGGGCCUCCAUGGUGAGGUGCUUGGUGCAGGGAUCCCUGGAUCUGACCAAACAGGCUUCCAGGAGGAAGUGACACUGUGCCCAGAGCGCAGGGAUGGAAGAAGGAUGCUCCCUCUGGGCAGAGAGUAAAGGGAGAAGGAUGGUGGGAAGGAGGGCAGGGGCCAGAUGCUGUGGGUAUGAUUUGGAUCUGUGUCCCCACCCAAAUCACAUGUCAAACUGUAA